UACCACUGUGUACUAGCGUUAUUCAUCUUUAUUAGGUGUAAAGCGUAGUUAGGUUGGUUUAAUUAUUUUUUAUGAAAGGCUGAAAAACUCUUUUAGACGUGUAAUUUAUAUAAUUAAUUCCUUGAAUAUGGUAGAGGUUUGACAGAAUUGUAAGAGUAGUUGUGAAAAACUGAAAUACUUAUACGAAAGCCAAUGGUGCAGACUGAUUUCUAUGCCAUAUUGACACUGAUCUACGGAAUUUUGGGUAUCGAAGAGG
Molecule: ribosomal RNA, 256 nt
Filed under: uncultured bacterium
Lineage: Bacteria
Description: partial 16S ribosomal RNA
Rfam family: Bacterial small subunit ribosomal RNA
Source: RNAcentral